Molecule: ribosomal RNA, 404 nt
Filed under: Fusobacteriota bacterium
Lineage: Bacteria; Fusobacteriati; Fusobacteriota
Description: Fusobacteria bacterium partial 16S ribosomal RNA
Rfam family: Bacterial small subunit ribosomal RNA
Source: RNAcentral
UGGGGAAUAUUGCACAAUGGAGGGAACUCUGAUGCAGCGACGCCGCGUGAGUGAUGAAGGAAUUCGUUUCGUAAAACUCUGUUCUAUGGGAAGAAAAGGACUGUACCAUAGGAGAAAGCUCCGGCUAAAUACGUGCCAGCAGCCGCGGUAAUACGUAUGGAGCGAGCGUUGUCCGGAAUUAUUGGGCGUAAAGGGUGCGCAGGCGGCUUUACAAGUUGGAUGUGAAAUAUUGUGGCUCAACCACAAACGUGCAUCCAAAGCAUCAAAGCUGUUGUGAAGGCGAGGUAAGUGGAAUUCCUGGUGUAGCGGUAUAAUGCGUACAUAUCGGGAGGAAUACCGGUGGCGAGGGCGACUUCCUGGACUUAAACUGACGCUCAGGCACGAAAGCGUGGGGAGCAAACAGG